RNAcentral lists this ribosomal RNA (434 nucleotides) under uncultured bacterium. RNAcentral's name for it is "bacterial SSU rRNA". It matches the Rfam family "Bacterial small subunit ribosomal RNA", at positions 28 to 478 of the family's 1533-position model. The record is from RNAcentral.
GAUGAACGCUGGCGGCGUGCCUAACACAUGCAAGUCGAACGAUGAAACCGCCCUCGGGCGGACAUGAAGUGGCGAACGGGUGAGUAACACGUGACCAACCUGCCCCUUGCUCCGGGACAACCUUGGGAAACCGAGGCUAAUACCGGAUACUCUUCGCCCCCCUCCUGGGGGGCCCGGGAAAGCCCAGACGGCAAGGGAUGGGGUCGCGGCCCAUUAGGUAGUAGGCGGGGUAACGGCCCACCUAGCCCGCGAUGGGUAGCCGGGUUGAGAGACCGACCGGCCACAUUGGGACUGAGAUACGGCCCAGACUCCUACGGGAGGCAGCAGUGGGGAAUUUUGCGCAAUGGGGGCAACCCUGACGCAGCAACGCCGCGUGCGGGACGACGGCCUUCGGGUUGUAAACCGCUUUCAGCAGGGAAGAAAUUCGACGGUAC